ACAUGAGAGAUGGGACCCGCGCGGGCGCAUUAGGCUAGUUGGUGAGGUAACGGCUCACCAAGGCGACGAUGCGUAGGCCGACCUGAGAGGGUGAUCGGCCACACUGGGACUGAGACACGGCCCAGACUCCUACGGGAGGCAGCAGUAGGGAAUCUUCCGCAAUGGACGAAAGUCUGACGGAGCAACGCCGCGUGAGUGAUGAAGGUUUUCGGAUCGUAAAAACUCUGUUGUUAGGGAAGAACAAGUACCGUUCGAAUAGGGCGGUACCUUGACGGUACCUAACCAGAAAGCCACGGCUAACUACGUGCCAGCAGCCGCGGUAAUACGUAGGUGGCAAGCGUUGUCCGGAAUUAUUGGGCGUAAAGCGCGCGCAGGCGGUUUCUUAAGUCUGAUGUGAAAGCCCCCGGCUCAACCGGGGAGGGUCAUUGGAAACUGGGGAACUUGAGUGCAGAAGAGGAGAGUGGAAUUCCACGUGUAGCGGUGAAAUGCGUAGAGAUGUGGAGGAACACCAGUGGCGAAGGCGACUCUCUGGUCUGUAACUGACGCUGAGGCGCGAAAGCGUGGGGAGCGAACAGGAUUAGAUACCCUGGUAGUCCACGCCGUAAACGAUGAGUGCUAAGUGUUAGAGGGUUUCCGCCCUUUAGUGCUGCAGCAAACGCAUUAAGCACUCCGCCUGGGGAGUACGGUCGCAAGACUGAAACUCAAAGGAAUUGACGGGGGCCCGCACAAGCGGUGGAGCAUGUGGUUUAAUUCGAAGCAACGCGAAGAACCUUACCAGGUCUUGACAUCCUCUGACAACCCUAGAGAUAGGGCUUCCCCUUUCGGGGGCAGAGUGACAGGUGGUGCAUGGUUGUCGUCAGCUCGUGUCGUGAGAUGUUGGGUUAAGUCCCGCAACGAGCGCAACCCUUGAUCUUAGUUGCCAGCAUUCAGUUGGGCACUCUAAGGUGACUGCCCGUGACAAACCGGAGGAAGGUGGGGAUGACGUCAAAUCAUCAUGCCACUUAUGACCUGGCCUACACACGUGCUACAAUGGGCAGAACAAAGGGCAGCGAAGCCGCGAGGCUAAGCCAAUCCC
Molecule: ribosomal RNA, 1075 nt
Filed under: Bacillus licheniformis
Lineage: Bacteria; Bacillati; Bacillota; Bacilli; Caryophanales; Bacillaceae
Description: bacterial SSU rRNA
Rfam family: Bacterial small subunit ribosomal RNA
Source: RNAcentral